This 74-nucleotide transfer RNA is filed under the name Candidatus Zambryskiibacteriota bacterium. RNAcentral's name for it is "Candidatus Zambryskibacteria bacterium tRNA-Phe". Lineage: Bacteria; Candidatus Zambryskiibacteriota. The record is from RNAcentral.
GCCCAGGUAGCUCAGUCGGUAGCAGCGCUUCCCUGAAGAGGAAGAGGUCGUCAGUUCGAUCCUGACCCUGGGCA